This 1890-nucleotide long non-coding RNA is filed under the name Mytilus galloprovincialis (Mediterranean mussel). Lineage: Eukaryota; Metazoa; Mollusca; Bivalvia; Mytilida; Mytilidae. The record is from RNAcentral.
CUGAUGCUAAACUUGUGCUUUCUACCUAUUAUGGUUCUGGAGACAAUAAGAACGAGAUUGAUAUUGAUGAAUUUCUCGUAAAUGGUAAGAAAAUUUAAUUUAGUGUCACUAAAGGAUCACGUGUUCCUGUUGGAGAACAUCUGCCAUUGACCAACGGCUUUGCUAUGUUGGCUUAAUGGGAAUCACCGAAGGAAUAAAAGACCCUUCAGUGUUUGAUAACCCACCAGAGUGUAAUCGAGCGGGAACAGUUUCUCCGGUAGGUUUAAAGAUUACACACGUAUGCAUGUAAAAUUUCAAUUUAUAGUUUAACCAUACUGCCCUUGGAUGUCGGUUUAAAGAUUAGAUUAACACAUGAGAGAACAAAAAAUCCGUAUACGAAGUCUCGGUUGACCACUUUUUCAUCGAGCGUAAGGCAGAUUGUUUUGUUUUUAUUAUACUUGAUGCCUUAUGAUUUAAAUGUACACUAUAUUAUUAGACAAUAACAAUCAAAACCAAGGAGUAAACAAAGACUCACAAAACCAAAGGACAUUUACAUCAACAGUUAUAAAAAUAAAUAAGACACAACACGAACUCCACUAAAAAUCGGGAGUUAAAUCAGGUGCUCCAGAAGGGUAAGCAUUUCCUGCACCGUAUUACAACAGCUGUAAAAUAAAUAAAGUCAUAAAUUAAGAUAGUUUAUUAAUAACUACAACAAAAUGAUACAAAUGAUUAAGAAAUAAGAAUCGGUAAAGCGUUUUCAGGGGUAUCAUUUGCCCCAAAUUUUGUUUUCCAAAUGUAUCAAUGUGCAUUGUUCCGAUUUGACAAUCACCAGGCCCAGGCGGUUGUUUAUUUUAGGCAAUAACACCCGUUGCUAAUAUUAUCACAUUUUGCUAUGGGUUGGCAUAGUUUAUGAAAAGCUAGUGAAAAUUACAAAAUUUUCGUGUAUCUUAAAACAAAUGGAUAAUAUACGUUAUUUGCCUAAAGUAUAGUAACUGUAAUAGAAUAUUUCACUGUUUAAAAGUAGGAAUCAGUAUAAUAGGUUCUGUGUCGAGGUGGGAAGUGUAUCACAUUUAACUUCAAUGUGAUUGUUAGUCAUUAUAUUAACAAAUAAGAGCACCGAAAUUAACCAUUUCUGCUGUACAUUAUCAAUCGAGUCUCAAUAAAGAAUAUUUAUGAGUCAAUAUAUUUUUAACUUCGUCACUAUAAAAGAGAAAACUAGGUUGAUUUUUUUCCUGGACAGUUUUGUGAAUAGAAUAUGCAUAAGGUUUUAGGUUAAUAAUUAAAUAUACAUAAUGAUUGUCGUCACUCACAAUCACUUAAGGUGACUCGGCCCUUUAUUAGUGCGCAUAUUUUAACGCAUGUUUCUUACGACGAGUGCCUUGGAAACGGUCGCUUUUGGGGGUCUUCUCAAAAAUAGCUUUGGUGAACUCGGGCGUGUAUUAAAGCACCCUUGGCGAUGUAAACAAGUGAUGCAAAACGUUCUUCAAAACACGAAAUAUGUACAGUCGGAAAUUCAGAGUGCAGAUUGAUAUCGAAUAAAAUUAAAUCAGACUAAAAUUUUCCUUUGUAUGAUUUUUAUACCCCCCUUUUUUACAUUCUGCAUACGUACAUAUGUUCUGUGUUUGUCUUUUGAAACAGACUUUAGAAAUUCGUAUAAAGAAACGUAUACAUUUUUUAUUUCAAACCGUAUAAUUAUGAACAAUGUGGCACUGAAGCAAAUAAAUUGAAUGAUUCCGUUUAGGUUUAAAGAUUAUCAUCUCCAAGAAAUGUCAAAUAUGUUGAUGUUUUGUCUACCUUUUUCAUAAAUACUAUAUUUUAUAAUUUCAGAGAAUGCAGUAUAUAAAUAAGAGCGGAAGUGUUUAAUGUGAAAAAAUGUAUAAAUCAAAGAAAAAAAUGUUCAGUACGAAAAAA